This 891-nucleotide ribosomal RNA is filed under the name uncultured bacterium. RNAcentral's name for it is "bacterial SSU rRNA". It matches the Rfam family "Bacterial small subunit ribosomal RNA", at positions 505 to 1397 of the family's 1533-position model. The record is from RNAcentral.
GUGCCAGCCGCCGCGGUAAUACGUAGGUGGCAAGCGUUGUCCGGAUUUAUUGGGCGUAAAGCGAGCGCAGGCGGUUUCUUAAGUCUGAUGUGAAAGCCUUCGGCUCAACCGAAGAAGUGCAUCGGAAACUGGGAAACUUGAGUGCAGAAGAGGACAGUGGAACUCCAUGUGUAGCGGUGAAAUGCGUAGAUAUAUGGAAGAACACCAGUGGCGAAGGCGGCUGUCUGGUCUGUAACUGACGCUGAGGCUCGAAAGCAUGGGUAGCAAACAGGAUUAGAUACCCUGUAGUCCAUCCCGUAAACGAUGAGUGCUAGGUGUUGGAGGGUUUCCGCCCUUCAGUGCCGCAGCUAACGCAUUAAGCACUCCGCCUGGGGAGUACGACCGCAAGGUUGAAACUCAAAGGAAUUGACGGGGGCCCGCACAAGCGGUGGAGCAUGUGGUUUAAUUCGAAGCAACGCGAAGAACCUUACCAGGUCUUGACAUCCUUUGACCACUCUAGAGAUAGAGCUUUCCCUUCGGGGACAAAGUGACAGGUGGUGCAUGGUUGUCGUCAGCUCGUGUCGUGAGAUGUUGGGUUAAGUCCCGCAACGAGCGCAACCCUUAUUACUAGUUGCCAGCAUUUAGUUGGGCACUCUAGUGAGACUGCCGGUGACAAACCGGAGGAAGGUGGGGACGACGUCAAAUCAUCAUGCCCCUUAUGACCUGGGCUACACACGUGCUACAAUGGAUGGUACAACGAGUUGCGAGACCGCGAGGUUUAGCUAAUCUCUUAAAACCAUUCUCAGUUCGGAUUGUAGGCUGCAACUCGCCUACAUGAAGCCGGAAUCGCUAGUAAUCGCGGAUCAGCAUGCCGCGGUGAAUACGUUCCCGGGCCUUGCACACACCGCCCGU